RNAcentral lists this ribosomal RNA (407 nucleotides) under uncultured bacterium. Its description in RNAcentral is "bacterial SSU rRNA". It matches the Rfam family "Bacterial small subunit ribosomal RNA", at positions 355 to 774 of the family's 1533-position model. The record is from RNAcentral.
UGGGGAAUAUUGCACAAUGGGCGCAAGCCUGAUGCAGCAACGCCGCGUGAGGGACGACGGCCUUCGGGUUGUAAACCUCUUUUGGCAGGGAAGAAGCGAAAGUGACGGUACCUGCAGAAAAAGCACCGGCUAACUACGUGCCGGCAGCCGCGGUGAUACGUAGGGUGCAAGCGUUGUCCGGAAUUAUUGGGCGUAAAGAGCUCGUAGGCGGUUUGUCGCGUCUGCUGUGAAAACCCGAGGCUCAACCUCGGGCCUGCAGUGGGUACGGGCAAACUAGAGUGCGGUAGGGGAGAUUGGAAUUCCUGGUGUAGCGGUGGAAUGCGCAGAUAUCAGGAGGAACACCGAUGGCGAAGGCAGAUCUCUGGGCCGUAACUGACGCUGAGGAGCGAAAGCAUGGGGAGCGAACA